UGGAAAUUAGAAGAUAUUUUUGCAUAGCUUCCCACCUGGCUCAUUUAGUGCAUUUUUACUUUCAUAUGAAAAUAGCUAAUUAUUGUGCAAAAUACAUUCCAAAAUGAGUACGCAGAUCACACUACUGUUGAUAGUCAAAUGUACCAUGCAGCAGCGUCACCAGAUCAUGGUUUUCAUGCACAUCAACGAUCAUUAUGCAUCAAACAUUCUGAAUAGCCUAACAGCACAAAUAUACAGCCUUAAUUGUAACACCAGAGCCUCCCUGUCUGCCUCUGUAAGACCUGUUAACUGCAACAAUGAAGCAAAAUAUGCUGAACUUAACUUCAAGGAUCCAACCAACUAAAAGAAAAAAAGGAAGGACACCAGCUAACCACAAAAUAUGGGAAAGGGAGGAGGAACUUCAACAUCAAAAGUGUAUAAUAUCCUAUAUUCUGGACACGAAGUUCAAAUAGAAAUACGACAAAACAAAUUGCACCAUCUGCUUAAAAAUAUGUAAUACUAUUGUUCAGUGUUCACCUUUCAGACAAGAAAGCUUAUUGCACUUUCAAUCAACUUUUAAUUGGUUUGCACA
Molecule: non-coding RNA, 571 nt
Organism: Malus domestica (apple)
Lineage: Eukaryota; Viridiplantae; Streptophyta; Magnoliopsida; Rosales; Rosaceae
Source: RefSeq, a predicted model, not a curated record